Molecule: ribosomal RNA, 522 nt
Filed under: uncultured Glomus
Lineage: Eukaryota; Fungi; Glomeromycota; Glomeromycetes; Glomerales; Glomeraceae
Description: SSU rRNA
Rfam family: Eukaryotic small subunit ribosomal RNA
Source: RNAcentral
AGCAGCCGCGGUAAUUCCAGCUCCAAUAGCGUAUAUUAAAGUUGUUGCAGUUAAAAAGCUCGUAGUUGAAUUUCGGGAUCAGUACGCCGGUCGUGCCUUCGGUAUGUACUGGUGUCACUGAUUCCUCCCUUCUGAAGAACCGUUAUGCCAUUUAUUUGGUGUGGCGGGGAAUCAGGACUGUUACUUUGAAAAAAUUAGAGUGUUUAAAGCAGGCUCGCGCUUGAAUACAUUAGCAUGGAAUAAUGAAAUAGGACGUUUGAUUCUAUUUUGUUGGUUUCUAGGAUCGACGUAAUGAUUAAUAGGGAUAGUUGGGGGCAUUAGUAUUCAAUUGUCAGAGGUGAAAUUCUUGGAUUUAUUGAAGACUAACUACUGCGAAAGCAUUUGCCAAGGAUGUUUUCAUUAAUCAAGAACGAAAGUUAGGGGAUCGAAGACGAUCAGAUACCGUCGUAGUCUUAACCAUAAACUAUGCCGACUAGGGAUCGGAUGAUGUUAAUUUUUUAAUGACUCAUUCGGCGCCUUACG